Molecule: long non-coding RNA, 880 nt
Filed under: Anas platyrhynchos platyrhynchos (common mallard)
Lineage: Eukaryota; Metazoa; Chordata; Aves; Anseriformes; Anatidae
Description: lncRNA (ENSAPLG00000017225.1)
Source: RNAcentral
UGGUUUUGGUUGUGUGCCAACUUUUUGAAGAGGGUUUGAUCUGCGAUUUGAAAUACUUGGCGUUUCCUAAGUAAUUGGAUGAUUUUUGAGACUUGGGCUGUGCAGAGCUUUCAGUUUUCGGAUAUUUGAUAUUUUCCAAGGAUUACAUUACAGGCUAUAGUGCUGACAUGUUUUCAGGAGCAAACAAGGUCAGAAAAGGUCCCUGAAUAGCUUUUUGUCUUUGCCAAGGACAACUGGAAAUCAGCACAAUAAAGUCGUAUGUAAUGCACAGACAGAAACAAACUCAGACUGUCCUCCUCGUUAAGUUUAAAGAGAAGCAAGGUCUUGUUUACCGACAGGAACGGCUGGCGGGGCAAGGAAUAUGACGAGUUUGGGGACCCAUCUUCACAAGAGCGAACUGGAGGAUCAAGGCUUACCUAGAUGGGAAGCAGGGGUACAGAGAAUGCAUUUGUUUCAACAUGAAAAAGCAGUCGUUCCUAAAUCUGGAGCUGAUUACACCAAGGCAGAUCCUACGGGGCGUUUCGGGAAGCACCCAUUAGCAAACCAGAGCACUGAUUCCUGUCCUCACGGGUGGGGGUGCUUGCUGCCCCUCUGCGCACAGCCAGAUGGACAUCGGCACUCUGCUCCUAGGAUCAUCACCAGCAGGAGACCAGACCCCAGGCAGGGCCUACACCCUGUUGACACCGCAGAUUUUGACAGCAGAUUUCCACUCUCUGCUUGCCAGUGGGUACCGUCACACUGUUUUGGGUGGGGGGCUCCUGCCUGGGACUUCUGGCUCCAUAAGCCCUACAAGAAGCGGUGCACAGACAUCCUCCUCCUGCCUCGGAAAGGGAAGGAAUCAUCAAGCAGGAUUUCUGAGGAUCUCAGUCUUGUAGUCUAG